This 2688-nucleotide long non-coding RNA is filed under the name Paramuricea clavata. Lineage: Eukaryota; Metazoa; Cnidaria; Anthozoa; Malacalcyonacea; Plexauridae. The record is from RNAcentral.
GUGGGAUUUUCUUGAAAAUGCGCGACAGAAAUUCAGCUAAAAUUUCUACGCGAGGAACGAUCUGGAGUAUGAGUAAUAUCUUCAUUCUUUGCAGUUUGUCACAGAUUAAAUGAUAAAGUUUGCAUGAUUUUGAAAAAAGAAUGAUUAUUAGCAAAUUAUUGGGGGGGCUGCAGCCCCCCAGCCCCCCCCCCCCGGUUGCUACGGCCCUGCAUUUUCAAACGACACACUACACGAAACGACGCCGCCAUAUUGCCUGAUUGUCAGCAUUGUUCUAUCGCCUUCUCAGCAUUCCGGCAAUGUUGAUUGGUUUUGAGCGCCAAAUACGCGACUUUGUAAAAAAUCUCAUAAUAAUAAUAAUAAUAACAAUAAUAAUAAUAAUAAUAAUGAUUUAUUAGCGAUUCCAAAUUGAAUUGGCUCUUCUAUCACUAAAUUAACUAAUCUACAUUAACAAGAUCUAUAUUUACAAUGAGUAGCUAUGAAGAAUUAAUACAUAUAUACAGUACAUUCACAGUACAUAUUUCACAAAUCAGAUGUAACAAAACAUAGUCAUUUAAACUCCGGCCCGAGCCUCUCGUGGACCAAGUCUGUGAGAUAGACUUUCACACUUGUUCUAAAAAUGUUGAAAUCUUUGCAAUUUCGCAAACUAUCUGGCAGAGAGUUAAAUGCAGUGUUUGAUAUUAUUACUCAAACACUACAAUACUUUUGUUUGUGGAAACACCACGUAAAUUUAUUACUGCAAAGGUUUCGAUCCGCAAGCUACACCACGUAAAUUUAUUACUACAAGCCAGGAUCUUCAUCAGUACUAAUAAUAAUGCCACCUAUUAUUAGCACUGAUGAAGAUCGAGGCACACGGAUCGAUAGGUUUGCAGUAAUAAAUCAAUUAUAUGUUACAUGACAUUACAUUAUUAUUCAGCUCACUUCCCAUUGGGGGUUUCAGUGACCGAUUACAUCAAGUAUUACGCCUACUUAUGUUACUUAGUUACUCUAGACUAUAUAUCUUUCCAACAAAUCUGAUUACUUUCUUAACUGUGUUUAUUCUAACCCACUCUGUCAACUUGGAGAAAACCCACGACUUUCGGCAGAGAUUAAAUUUGUGCCGUACUCAUUUUCGCUCAGCUUUAAAUUUGCGCGAUUUAAUUUAGCUAACCUUGUUGAGAAGUAUUCGUGCAGCUUUAAAUUAAUUUUGCGCAAGUAAUUUUCCGUGUUCGUUCUUUUUGGUUUGUUUAAAGAGGUUGUCAAGUCCGUUCUGCUCAUGCGCGUGUUUUGUUUACAUUUUUUGUUUCAAAUAAUAGAUAAUUUAAUUAAAAUUUCGAUCUGUGAGCCACAAGUUAGCUCAAUACGCAUUCAGAACCUCUUCGUAGACUUCGUGAACCAUCGUAAGACGCUUGUAAUGUUUCGUAAUGCCUCGCAGUGAUUUCCAUAGUCGUUUAAAAGCUCUAAUGUUAAAGUCAGUAAAAUGUGUUUGUGUUAACAUCGAGUUCUGCUGUCUAGAAAAUUGCUAAAUGGUUUCAGACUUUGUUACGCUUCUGUGUUUCUAAAAAUCGUGAAAAUGAAAUUUUGUUUUUCGUGAAAUCUAAAAAUGAUCUUCGUGAUUUCGUGACGAGACUCCCCAUCCCCCCUUCUAUUAAAAUUGCCCUACUUAAAAUGUAUUAAAUUAAUAUGGUGGCAAAUACAUGACAAGAAUUUUACACAAUCAUACAUUGCAAAGAGUUUGUUUGGUAGCCAUUCUCAAGUCGCCGUCCUCUAAACGUAGACUCCCUCAAUUAGAGAGGUUAAGAUACCCGGUUCCGGUUUAAGGGUACGAGUAUCGCCAUUUUAUUUAUCAAGUUUUGCUGAUGUCAGCAUUUUUACCUGUAAUUUCUACCCGUUCUCCCGCGGCAAACCAUGGUGUAUACCAUAGAUAUAGGAGAUCUAGAUUGCUAACGCAUACCUAGCGCAGGCGGGGCCUACAUGAUAAAUCCAAGAUGGCGGUACAAGAGGGCAAAAAGACUAUAGAUUCUAUUACGAAAAUGAAGAUUUUUGCAUUUUUUGCCGUCGCAUUGUUUUGAAACUUAUUCGGUCAAAUUUUAUGGUAAAGAGAAACUUACCGCUUGGAGUGACAGUUGACCAGCAUUUGUCUUGGAAAAGUAAUACUGACAAUAUUUGUAAGAAAAUAACAGCAGGAAUAUCGGCUCUUCUGCGUUUAAAAGAGUUUACUGAUAGACAAACUCUUAUUUCUGUAUAUAAUGCAAUUGUUCGGCCAUACUUCGAUUAUUGUUGUGAAGUAUGGGAUGUGUUUGGGAAAACACAAUCAAAGCGACUCCAAAAACUCCAAAAUAGAGCUGCUCGAAUUAUCAUGAAUAUGAGCAAUGACACAGAACAUUCUGUUGCUUUACAAGCAUUGAGCUGGGUGCCACUCAAAACGGAAAGACAAAAAGCUAAAGCAAAAUUAAUGUACAAAAUAAUAAAUAAAAUGGGUCCGGAGUCACUCACUAAUCUUUUCACAUAUAAAGGUGAGAUGACAAACUACAAUCUUCGGGAUAUUUCGAGUAGUCUUUGCUUACCUAAACCGCGUACAAAUAGCAUGAAAAAGAGUUUCAUGUAUGACGGAGCCUACCUUUGGAAUUCUAUUCUGAAGGAAAUUAGAGAAAGCAAAUCCUUUGCCUCUUUUAGGAAUAAAAUUGCUACUCACAUUAAUAGUAAUUGUAA